Molecule: long non-coding RNA, 368 nt
Filed under: Daucus carota (carrot)
Lineage: Eukaryota; Viridiplantae; Streptophyta; Magnoliopsida; Apiales; Apiaceae
Description: long non-coding RNA (DCAR_LNC003546)
Source: RNAcentral
GCAUCAUGAAAAAUUCAAUAACCAAGCUAGAAUGCCAUAGAUAAUUUUCCACAUUGUGGAUUUUAGUAAUAAUCGACACAAAAGUAUUCACAAAAAUAAGCUAAUUAGUUCUUUAAACAAUCAUUGCUUGUCGAGUGGUCGUUGUGAAUUUUCAUCAAAAGUAGUUGCUGAAACAAUCAUUAGUUUCUGAAACAAUCAUUGGUUGUCAUUCUGGACUUCAUUAAAAUUGCUGGUGAGGUUUUUUGCAAAUCUGACUAUCUUCUUCUUAGCAGGCUUUGGUUAAGUAGUUGCUGCUAUGUCUUCUUCUUGAGACGCUUGUGCAGAUUGGAUGGAAAAAUUGAUCAGUUUCUUUGACGCCAUAUCAAUAU